Molecule: ribosomal RNA, 519 nt
Filed under: uncultured bacterium
Lineage: Bacteria
Description: bacterial SSU rRNA
Rfam family: Bacterial small subunit ribosomal RNA
Source: RNAcentral
CCAGAGAAUUUAGCAGAGAUGCUUAGUGCCUUCGGGAACUCUGAGACAGGUGCUGCAUGGCUGUCGUCAGCUCGUGUUGUGAAAUGUUGGGUUAAGUCCGCAACGAGCGCAACCCCUAUCCUUUGUUGCCAGCGAUUCGGUCGGGAACUCAAAGGAGACUGCCGGUGAUAAACCGGAGGAAGGUGGGGAUGACGUCAAGUCAUCAUGGCCCUUACGAGUAGGGCUACACACGUGCUACAAUGGCGCAUACAAAGAGAAGCGACCUCGCGAGAGCAAGCGGACCUCAUAAAGUGCGUCGUAGUCCGGAUUGGAGUCUGCAACUCGACUCCAUGAAGUCGGAAUCGCUAGUAAUCGUAGAUCAGAAUGCUACGGUGAAUACGUUCCCGGGCCUUGUACACACCGCCCGUCACACCAUGGGAGUGGGUUGCAAAAGAAGUAGAUAGCUUAACCUUCGGGAGGGCGUUUACCACUUUGUGAUUCAUGACUGGGGUGAAGUCGUAACAAGGUAAGCGUAGCGAG